AUGGUUAUGGACCGCACGGGUUGGCUCUGGAGGCGCAAGCCUUCGGAUAAUAGUCCUGGGGCAAGCGAUAGCUCUGUGCCCGUGUCAUCGCAUCCUCAGUGCUGCUCUGGCGAUCAGGAGGUUCUGAGGCCUGUCUCAAACAAUGCUUCAGCACAUCAUGGUCAAUCACCCAAAGUCUCUUCGAGGGUUAGGCAUGAUGAGACCCAAGAAACUGGAGUACCAAAAUUGUCGAAUGAGAAGCUAGCAUCAAGAGUUAAUUUAAAUGAUUUUUCUCCACAGCAUGGUCAGUCACUAGAAUCAUACCUAUCAUCAAAUGGAGAUGAAGAGACCAAGGAGACCAUGAAGAGUCUAAAUGAAAAACUUGCUGCUGCCCUUUUGGCUAUUAGUGAGAAAGAGGAUCUUGUUAAGCAGCAUGCUAAAGUCACAGAAGAGGCUGUUGCAGGUUGGGAACAAGCUGAAGUCGAAGCUACUGCCAUCAAGAAGCUGCUUGAAGCUGCUUCCCAUAGAAAUGAUUAUCUCGAGGGUCAGGUCAGCCACCUAGACAAGGCCCUCAAGGAAUGUGUGAGGCAGCUGCGCCUGGUACGGGAAGAACAAGAGGAGAUAAUACGUGAUGCACUUACCAAGAAGUCCCAGGAGUUGGAGUCUGAGAACUCCAAGCUGCAAAACCAUAUUGCUGAGCUGAAGAAGCAGCUGGCAGCAACCAAAUCAGAAGCCUCCACCGUGUCUGCACAGCCUGAUCUACAAGAGAAGCUUCAGACAAUCGAGAAAGAUAACUUGGAUCUCAAGGCCAAGCUCCUUGUACAGUCCAAAGAUCUGAAGAUACUCUCACUGGAAAAAGACUUGAGCAAUCAAGCAGCAGAGACAGCCAGCAAGCAGCACCUGGAAAGUAUAAAAAAGAUUGCUAGGGUUGAGGCAGAAUGCCGCAGGUUACAUCAUCUAGCUCAGAAAACAGCAUUGGUCAAUGAUUCUAGACCUCCGCCAAGCGCAGAAUCACUAACUGACAGCCACUCUGACAGUGCAGAAUGUAUGGUUGGUGUUGAUAGUGAAUUGAGAAAUUCUGACUCGUGGGCAUCUGCUCUGAUUACGGAGCUUGACCAGUUCAGGAAUGCGAAGGCUAGUGCAACAAAUAUUAUGAAUAAUCCUGUUGAGAUCGACCUAAUGGAUGAUUUCCUUGAGAUGGAAAGGUUGGCUGCAUUGCCUGAAUCAGACCAGACAAGCUCUACCUUUGAUAUGGAGACUGAUUCCGACAAGGCUGUGACGAGAAACAACUCUUCUAAAAUUGAAAAUGAAGAAUUGCGGCGUCAUGUUGCAGAUUUGCAUUCGAGGGUUGAAAUAGUUGAAAGCGAUAAGAAGGAGCUUGAGAUAGCUCUUAUAGAGGCUAGAAAUCAGCUUGACAUCUCCUGUGACGCACUAGUGGCGGCAAGGAACAGGCUGGUUGAAAUGCAAAUGCAAUUGGAUUUGGCAAAUGACUCCAAAUAUGCUGCUCUGGGAGAUGUGGACCGAUUGGACUCGGAGAAAAAGGCUUUGGAGUUUCAACUGGAGUCCAAAUCUGUAGAAGCUGAGGAGCUACAUGCGAUUGUUGCUUCAUUGGGAGAAAAUGCAGAAAAGAAGGAAUUUGAGUCGCAGUUAGAACUGGUCUCAGCCGAAGCCGCAGAGCUUCGGGUGACUAUGGCAUCAUUGGAAGAGAGGAUUGAAACCGAGACUGCUCUUUCUGUGCAGCACAAAGAAAAAUCAGAUGCUGCAUGCAAUGCUAAAGAAUUGUUGGAGACACAGCUGUAUUCUGCAAAUGCUGAAGUGCAAAAACUGCAUGGCAUCAUCAAAUCACUAGAGAAUCAGGUAGAAGAAGAGAAGGCACUGCGCGACGAACUCAUGAUACAAUCAUUGCUGAAGAUUGAAGCAGCUGUUGAGGCUGUUAAAGAACCAUUGGAGGCACAGCUGUGUUCCGCAAACACCGAAGUAGAGAAACUGCGUGGCAUUAUCGAAGCAUUAGAGAGUGAGAUAGAAAAGGAGAGGACAGUGCAUGAAGAACUGACAUCACAGCUAGACAUGAAGAUUGAAGCAGAGAGAACUCAUUCUGAGGCUGUUAAGGAAUCAUUGGAGGGACAGCUAUGUUCAGCAAAUAGCGAGGUAGCGAAACUGCGUGAUAUCAUUAAAGCGCUAGAAAAUGAGGUAGUUGAAAAAGAGAAGGCGUUGCAUGAAAAAUUGGCAGAAAAAGCAGAGAAAUCUAUUUCUGCGGAGUCUGUUAAAGAAUCAUUGGAGGCAGAACUCCAGUUAGUCAACUCUGAAGUUGUGAAACUGCGUGAUAUGGUGACGGCGCUUGAGCAUGAAGUGGUAAAGGAAAAGGAGUUCUCUGACGAGCUGCAGCUGCAGCUAGAAGCUCUAGAGGCCAUAAAAAGGGUGUUGGAGUCAGAGGUCGAGUCUGCACAUCAGGAUGCCCGGAAGCUUAAGGAGAAGGUUGAGUUGUUUGAAGCAAAACUGGACGAACAGAUGUCGUCAGCAGCGGAGUUCACUGCCAAGGAAGAGGCUGUGCAGUCACAAAGAACGGCAAUGGAGCAUCAACUUGAAGCAUCAAAGGCCGAUGUUGUGAAACUGACGAACAUGGUGAGCUUCCUCCAAGGGGAGGUUGUGCAGGAGAGGUUGCUGUCAGAAGAUUAUGAACAGAAAUGCCGAAAGCUGGAGGCUCAGUUGUCAAGGGAUAUUCGGGACGCGAAACUCUGGAGGCUUGCAAACUCAAAUGGAGACCUAAAGACCAAGCAGGAGAAGGAGCUUGCUAGUGCAGCCGGGAAGCUUGCAGAGUGCCAGAAGACCAUUGCUUCACUGGGACGCCAAUUGAAAUCACUGACAGAGAUUGACAACGUGGUGCUGGAGCCUGGACUAGGACUGCUGCUGGAACCCAGGGACAUAGCACUAAACUUGAGAGCCAGUGAUCCUGGCCUCCUUCAAAAAAGAAGCACUGGUUCCAACUUUGCAGUCUUCGCUGACGAGUUAUAUGAUCUUGACCUUCCGGAUGGCGACGUGGGCUGCUUUUCGCCACUCCCGUCGAUGAUUCGACCUUCAUCACCCCCUCCCUCGGAAAUGUCGGUGUUUGCAGGGGGGCUGUCGUCGCUUAGUAGCUACAGGGGAAAGAGACGAAAGUAA
This 3138-nucleotide ribosomal RNA is filed under the name Triticum aestivum (bread wheat). RNAcentral describes it as "partial small subunit ribosomal RNA". The record is from RNAcentral. Lineage: Eukaryota; Viridiplantae; Streptophyta; Magnoliopsida; Poales; Poaceae.